AAGUCGAACGGUCUAUCGAAAGAUAGAUAGUGGCAAACGGCUGAGUAACACGUAAGUAACCUGUCCUUAAGUGGGGAAUAACCUGCCGAAAGGUGGACUAAUACCGCAUGUGGUAGUGGAGGUAUGAUUCCAUUACUAAAGCUUUCGGGCGCUUGAGGAGGGGCUUGCGUCCUAUCAGGUAGUUGGCGGGGUAAUGGCCCACCAAGCCUACGACGGGUAGCUGGUUUGAGAGGACGUCCAGCCAGACGGGGACUGAGACACGGCCCCGACUCCUACGGGAGGCAGCAGCAAGGAAUUUUGCGCAAUGGGCGAAAGCCUGACGCAGCAACGCCGCGUGGGGGAAGAAGGCCUUCGGGUUGUAAACCUCUUUUCUCAGGGAAGAAAAAUGACGGUACCUGAGGAAUAAGUCACGGCUAACUACGUGCCAGCAGCCGCGGUAAUACGUAGGUGGCAAGCGUUAUCCGGAUUCACUGGGCGUAAAGAGCGCGUAGGUGGUCCUUCAAGUCAGAUGUGAAAUCUCCCGACUUAACUGGGAGCUGUCAUUUGAUACUGCUGGACUCGAGGACGGUAGAGGGAGGUGGAAUUCCCGGUGUAGUGGUGAA
Molecule: ribosomal RNA, 602 nt
Filed under: uncultured bacterium
Lineage: Bacteria
Description: bacterial SSU rRNA
Rfam family: Bacterial small subunit ribosomal RNA
Source: RNAcentral